RNAcentral lists this long non-coding RNA (200 nucleotides) under Glycine max (soybean). RNAcentral's name for it is "long non-coding RNA (GMAX_LNC001829)". The record is from RNAcentral. Lineage: Eukaryota; Viridiplantae; Streptophyta; Magnoliopsida; Fabales; Fabaceae.
ACCAUUCCAGAAGUGAUUUCUUUAUUAUGGGAAUGUUUAUUAACGUGCACCCACAAAGAACCACGAUCAUGUGCAGUGCGUUCUCCCCCAUUUGACAAUUAUUAUGACCUUUGUUGUUCGCCAAGUAUUGCUUCUUAAAUCAUAAUGGAUUCCCCUACUGCAUGGGAUUCUCGGGCACUGAUUAAGUGGUUGUUCACCCG